RNAcentral lists this ribosomal RNA (497 nucleotides) under uncultured bacterium. Its description in RNAcentral is "partial 16S ribosomal RNA". It matches the Rfam family "Bacterial small subunit ribosomal RNA", at positions 28 to 507 of the family's 1533-position model. The record is from RNAcentral.
GAUGAACGCUGGCGGCGUGCCUAAUACAUGCAAGUCGAGCGAACGGACGAGAAGCUUGCUUCUCUGAUGUUAGCGGCGAACGGGUGAGUAACACGUGGAUAACCUACCUAUAAGACUGGGAUAACUUCGGGAAGCCGUAGCUAAUACCGGAUAAUAUUUUGAACCGCAUGGUUCAAAAGUGAAAGACGGUCUUGCUGUCACUUAUAGAUGGAUCCGCGCUGCAUUAGCUAGUUGGUAAGGUAACGGCUUACCAAGGCAACGAUGCAUAGCCGACCUGAGAGGGUGAUCGGCCACACUGGAACUGAGACACGGUCCAGACUCCUACGGGAGGCAGCAGUAGGGAAUCUUCCGCAAUGGGCGAAAGCCUGACGGAGCAACGCCGCGUGAGUGAUGAAGGUCUUCGGAUCGUAAAACUCUGUUAUUAGGGAAGAACAUAUGUGUAAGUAACUGUGCACAUCUUGACGGUACCUAAUCAGAAAGCCACGGCUAACUACGUG